RNAcentral lists this long non-coding RNA (1246 nucleotides) under Scleropages formosus (Asian bonytongue). RNAcentral describes it as "lncRNA (ENSSFOG00015033182.1)". Lineage: Eukaryota; Metazoa; Chordata; Actinopteri; Osteoglossiformes; Osteoglossidae. The record is from RNAcentral.
UAAACUGUGUGUAUCUGAAAAUUUUUAAAAAGCUAAAACUUUCACAUGUGUCUGACAGUUUUUCUUGUUUGUUUCAUUCUCUCCCUCCCCCUUUCUUCUACAUUUUAUGUCAACUCUGUUUAAAUAAACCUAAUUUCCACCCUGUCCCUCUUUUACAUCUUCAUCCUUUUCGGCCUGUUCUUUUAUUCCUCUGGCAUAUCUUUCUUCAUCCCAUCAUCUUCUCCCACAUAGACACAUCAGAGAAGUUGUUUCCUUGCAGACACAACAGAAUCAGGAGCUACAGGAACUCUACAAACAGUUGCGUUCCCUGAAGGAACAAAGGCUGUUUCUCUCUUGCACUUCUAUUCCACCCUCUGCUCCUCCUGUAUUCUCUCCCCACCGGAUCAGACCUCCCAAAACCAAGCUGCGCCCUCGACCCCAUACAUACACGGACAGCAAAGGAAUCAAACUGAUGGACAUCCAAAAGUGCAGCAGUUUCACAAGAGGAGAGAGGCAGCUGCAUCCCUGUAGCCCCUCAGAGCGGCUCACGCCCCCGAGCACUGAGGGAAGCGAGAGAGAAGGACCUCCAGGAGUGACCCACAGCAGUGACCACUGAAGAGGAGUCAGAGACCUGUGAAAGAAUGCAACAAUAACACGGUUUAAUACAUAAGUAAAUUUGGCUGCACAUACUUUUCAAUGUAGCCGACUGUUGAUCAAUCCUGACAGUGAAGUUAAGUCACCUAAACAUUAAAUCAAUACUUAGCCAGUCACUUUCUUCUUUUAGUGUGACAGCUUUGUAGUUCAUAAGUUUUGAAUUGAGAUUGGUGAAGAACAUCCAUCAGUCUUUGUUUAGAUCAUCAAAAGUGAAGAAACUGUAUGGCAAAUUUGUACAAAUAUCAAUGUUUUGAUGUUUAAUGAACCAGUGCUGAUGUGAACACAUCAGUUUGUCAGCAAAUAUGUGCCUUCCAUAUUCAUUUUAUUCAGCCUUUUCACACUUGCUCCAAAUAUUUUAGUGCACCGUCAUAAAAAUUUUGCAAGCUGUUGACAAUCAAAGUGGUUUGUUUAAACCAUGGAUACAAAACAAGACAUAGAAAUAAGUAACCACUUUCGCUGUUAAGUUUUAAACAAAAACUUUAAAAAAAUACUUAGGUAAUAAUGGACCAACUGGGCUUCAAUGAAGAAAAAUUGAGAUUGAAACCAGGUCAGAAACUUAAUGAUUAAGAGUUUAAAAAAAUAAUAAACAUUUUAAUUGAGGUUGACUAAGCCA